UACGUAGGGGGCAAGCGUUGUCCGGAUUUAUUGGGCGUAAAGAGCGUGUAGGCGGUUUGGUAGGUCCGUUUGUGAAAACUCGAGGCUCAACCUCGAGACGCCGAUGGAAACCAUCAGACUAGAGUCCGGAAGAGGAGAGUGGAAUUCCUGGUGUAGCGGUGAAAUGCCGCAGAUAUCGGGAGGAACACCGGUGGCGAAGGC
RNAcentral lists this ribosomal RNA (201 nucleotides) under uncultured bacterium. Its description in RNAcentral is "partial 16S ribosomal RNA". It matches the Rfam family "Bacterial small subunit ribosomal RNA", at positions 524 to 722 of the family's 1533-position model. The record is from RNAcentral.